UCGAGAAUCUUCGGCAAUGGACGCAAGUCUGACCGAGCGACGCCGCGUGCGGGAUGAAGGCCCUCGGGUUGUAAACCGCUGUUGGAGGUUAGGAAAUUUUGACCGAUCCUCUGAGGAAGGGCAGGCUAAGUUCGUGCCAGCAGCCGCGGUAAGACGAACUGCCCAAACGUUAUUCGGUAUCACUGGGCUUAAAGGGUGCGUAGGCGGCAUGGUAAGUGAGAUGUGAAAUCCCACGGCUCAACCGUGGAAUUGCGUUUCAUACUGCCAUGCUUGAGGGAGAUAGAGGUGAGCGGAACAGAUGGUGGAGCGGUGAAAUGCGUUGAUAUCAUCUGGAACACCCGUGGCGAAAGCGGCUCACUGGAUCUCUUCUGACGCUCAUGCACGAAAGCUAGGGUAGCGAACGGGAUUAGAUACCCCUGUAGUCC
This 425-nucleotide ribosomal RNA is filed under the name uncultured prokaryote. RNAcentral describes it as "bacterial SSU rRNA". It matches the Rfam family "Bacterial small subunit ribosomal RNA", at positions 355 to 796 of the family's 1533-position model. The record is from RNAcentral.